RNAcentral lists this ribosomal RNA (253 nucleotides) under uncultured bacterium. Its description in RNAcentral is "partial 16S ribosomal RNA". It matches the Rfam family "Bacterial small subunit ribosomal RNA", at positions 524 to 776 of the family's 1533-position model. The record is from RNAcentral.
UACGUAGGGGGCAAGCGUUGUCCGGAUUUAUUGGGCGUAAAGAGCGUGUAGGCGGCCAUACAGGUCCGUUGUGAAAACUGGAGGCUUAACCUCCAGACGUCGAUGGAAACCGUGUGGCUAGAGUCCGGAAGAGGAGAGUGGAAUUCCUGGUGUAGCGGUGAAAUGCGCAGAUAUCAGGAAGAACACCCGUGGCUAAGGCGGCUCUCUAGUACGGUACUGACGCUGAGACGCGAAAGCGUGGGGAGCGAACAGG